RNAcentral lists this ribosomal RNA (201 nucleotides) under uncultured bacterium. Its description in RNAcentral is "partial 16S ribosomal RNA". It matches the Rfam family "Bacterial small subunit ribosomal RNA", at positions 1300 to 1500 of the family's 1533-position model. The record is from RNAcentral.
GUAGGCUGCAACUCGCCUACAUGAAGUCGGAAUUGCUAGUAAUCGCGGAUCAGCAUGCCGCGGUGAAUACGUUCCCGGGCCUUGUACACACCGCCCGUCACACCAUGGGAGUCGGUAACACCCGAAGCCUGUAGUCUAACCGCAAGGAGGACGCAGUCGAAGGUGGGAUUGAUGACUGGGGUGAAGUCGUAACAAGGUAAC